Molecule: transfer RNA, 74 nt
Filed under: Tenacibaculum finnmarkense
Lineage: Bacteria; Pseudomonadati; Bacteroidota; Flavobacteriia; Flavobacteriales; Flavobacteriaceae
Description: tRNA-Ile
Rfam family: tRNA
About the family: Transfer RNA (tRNA) molecules are approximately 80 nucleotides in length. Their secondary structure includes four short double-helical elements and three loops (D, anti-codon, and T loops). Further hydrogen bonds mediate the characteristic L-shaped molecular structure. tRNAs have two regions of fundamental functional importance: the anti-codon, which is responsible for specific mRNA codon recognition, and the 3' end, to which the tRNAs corresponding amino acid is attached (by aminoacyl-tRNA synthetases). tRNAs cope with the degeneracy of the genetic code in two manners: having more than one tRNA (with a specific anti-codon) for a particular amino acid; and 'wobble' base-pairing, i.e. permitting non-standard base-pairing at the 3rd anti-codon position.
Source: RNAcentral
GGUCUUAUAGCUCAGUUGGUUAGAGCACCUGACUCAUAAUCAGGUGAUUCCAGGUUCGAGUCCUGGUGGGAUCA